RNAcentral lists this long non-coding RNA (231 nucleotides) under Setaria italica (foxtail millet). RNAcentral's name for it is "long non-coding RNA (SITA_LNC007267)". Lineage: Eukaryota; Viridiplantae; Streptophyta; Magnoliopsida; Poales; Poaceae. The record is from RNAcentral.
UCGGCUGUCCCAUUACUUGCUAUCCGUGGACUGUACAAGCAGAACACCAUCCCACGCGGCACCACACCUGUUGGGCCAAAACCGGUAUUCGAAACCCCACAUGACACCCAAGCAAGCAUCGUCGUCGUCGGUCCCGACGCUCUCUCCCUUGCCUUGUGAGUUGUGCAUCUUGCUUGAUGGGGAGGAACAGUACCGCCACCGUGCGGUGCGCCGGGGCCCAAAGGACAGGAG